UAACGCGUAGGUAACCUGCCUUGUAGCGGGGGAGUAACUAUUGGAAACGAUAGCUAAUACCGCAUAACAAUGGGUGACUCAUGUCAUUUAUUUAAAAGGGGGCAAAAUGCUCCACUACAAGAUGGACCUGCGUUGUAUUAGCUAGUAGGUGAGGUAACGGCUCACCUAGGCGACGAUACAUAGCCGACCUGAGAGGGUGAUCGGCCACACUGGGACUGAGACACGGCCCAG
Molecule: ribosomal RNA, 231 nt
Filed under: uncultured bacterium
Lineage: Bacteria
Description: partial 16S ribosomal RNA
Rfam family: Bacterial small subunit ribosomal RNA
Source: RNAcentral